This 482-nucleotide ribosomal RNA is filed under the name uncultured bacterium. Its description in RNAcentral is "partial 16S ribosomal RNA". It matches the Rfam family "Bacterial small subunit ribosomal RNA", at positions 30 to 507 of the family's 1533-position model. The record is from RNAcentral.
AUUGAACGCUGGCGGCAUGCUUUACACAUGCAAGUCGAACGGUAACAGCACUUCGGUGGCUGACGAGUGGCGAACGGGUGAGUAAUACAUCGGAACGUGCCUAGUAGUGCGGGAUAACUACUCGAAAGAGUAGCUAAUACCGCAUGAGAUCUAAGGAUGAAAGCAGGGGACCUUCGGGCCUUGCGCUACUAGAGCGGCUGAUGGCAGACUAGCUAGUUGGUGGGAUAAAAGCUUACCACGCCGACGAUCUGUAGCUGGUCUGAGAGGACGACCAGCCACACUGGGACGGAGACACGGACCAGGAUCCUAAGGGAGGCAACAGUGGGGAAUGUUGGACAAGGGGGGCGAGGCUGGUGCAGCAAUGCCGCGUCGAGCAUGAAGACCUUCGGGUUGUAAACUACUUUUGUACGGAACGAAAAGCUCUCAGCUAAUACAGGAGGAACGUGACGGUACCGUAAGAAGAAGCACCGGCUAACUACGUG